UACGUAGGGUGCAAGCGUUGUCCGGAAUUAUUGGGCGUAAAGAGCGUGUAGGCGGCCCGAUUAGUCCGCUGUGAAAGUCAGAGGCUCAACCUUUGAAAGCCGGUGGAUACUGGAUGGCUAGAGUACGGAAGAGGCGAGUGGAAUUCCUGGUGUAGCGGUGGAAUGCGCAGAUAUCAGGAGGAACACCAAUAGCGAAGGCAGCUCGCUGGGACGUUACUGACACUAAGGCGCGAAAGCGUGGGGAGCGAACAGG
Molecule: ribosomal RNA, 253 nt
Filed under: uncultured bacterium
Lineage: Bacteria
Description: partial 16S ribosomal RNA
Rfam family: Bacterial small subunit ribosomal RNA
Source: RNAcentral